UUCUCUAUCUGAUUAGCUUUAUUAUUGUAAUCAGAUAGAUACAAUAAUAAAGCUAAUCAGAUAGAGAA
This is a non-coding RNA of Pelobates cultripes (western spadefoot toad), 68 nucleotides long. The record is from the annotation of a GenBank genome assembly. Lineage: Eukaryota; Metazoa; Chordata; Amphibia; Anura; Pelobatidae.